AGUGAACCAGUACCGUGAGGGAAAGGCGAAAAGAACCCCGGCGAGGGGAGUGAAAAAGAACCUGAAACCGUGUACGUACAAGCAGUGGGAGCACCUUCGGGUGUGACUGCGUACCUUUUGUAUAAUGGGUCAGCGACUUAUAUUCUGUAGCAAGGUUAACCGUAUAGGGGAGCCGCAGGGAAACCGAGUCUUAACUGGGCGUUAAGUUGCAGGGUAUAGACCCGAAACCCGGUGAUCUAGCCAUGGGCAGGUUGAAGGUUGGGUAACACUAACUGGAGGACCGAACCGACUAAUGUUGAAAAAUUAGCGGAUGACUUGUGGCUGGGGGUGAAAGGCCAAUCAAACCGGGAGAUAGCUGGUUCUCCCCGAAAGCUAUUUAGGUAGCGCCUCGUGAACUCAUCUUCGGGGGUAGAGCACUGUUUCGGCUAGGGGGUCAUCCCGACUUACCAACCCGAUGCAAACUACGAAUACCGAAGAAUGUUAUCACGGGAGACACACGGCGGGUGCUAACGUCCGUCGUGAAGAGGGAAACAACCCAGACCGCCAGCUAAGGUCCCAAAGUCAUGGUUAAGUGGGAAACGAUGUGGGAAGGCACAGACAGCCAGGAUGUUGGCUUAGAAGCAGCCAUCAUUUAAAGAAAGCGUAAUAGCUCACUGGUCGAGUCGGCCUGCGCGGAAGAUGUAACGGGGCUAAACCAUGCACCGAAGCUGCGGCAGCGACACUAUGUGUUGUUGGGUAGGGGAGCG
This 746-nucleotide ribosomal RNA is filed under the name Klebsiella pneumoniae. Its description in RNAcentral is "partial 23S ribosomal RNA". It matches the Rfam family "Bacterial large subunit ribosomal RNA", at positions 489 to 1238 of the family's 2925-position model. The record is from RNAcentral. Lineage: Bacteria; Pseudomonadati; Pseudomonadota; Gammaproteobacteria; Enterobacterales; Enterobacteriaceae.